UGUCCAUGCUAAAUGAAGCUAAUAGAGUGGGCUGUGAUUGCCUGAUAUUUAGCUUUUGAUGCAUUUGGGUGUUCAAUAUAAUGUCCCAUCCAGUUAAUGUUUCUGUUCAAGCCAUGAAAGAUAGUGUCAAAUUUGCAUAUGAAGACCAGUUCUGCAGAUUCUCUCUAGCUGAUUCCUGAAGUUACUUCAUAAGACAAUGACCACCUUUAAAUCUAUUAAUCAGUGGCCAGGCAAGUUAAAAUGUUCCCCAACAGGUUUCUGUGUGUUGCCAUUUUGAAUAUCUGAUUUGUAUCCCUUAAUCCUUUGUCCAAUUUGGCCGAUAUACAUGGCAGAGGGGCAUUGCUGGCACUUGAUAGCAUAAAUCACAUUGUGUAAGUGCAGUUGUAUGAGCCUCUGAUGUAGUGGCUUAUGUGGUUAAGUCCUGUGAUGAUGUUGCUCAUAUAGAAGCAUGAACAGAGCUGGCAAUUGAGUUUAUUGCAGGGGUGGGUUCCCCAGUGAGUAUGUUUGAGGUGUGUUGUGUGGUUGCUGGAAAAAAUGUUUCAGGGUAAGUGGUUGUCUGUAGGUGAGAACUGGCCCGUCCCCAAGGCCUGUGAGAGUGAGGGAUCAUUUUUCAAAAUAGGCUGUAGAUGGUUAAUGAUGCGCUGGAGAGGUUUAAGUUGGGGGCUGUAGAGAAUGACUAGUUGUGUUCUGUUAUUUCGUUUGCUGGGCAUAUCUUGAAGAAGCUGAUGUCUGGGUACUCAUCUGGUUCAGAGAUAGUAUCAAAUUUGCACUCAGAGCCAGAUGAGCUCUUCAUGUUUUCCAAUAUCUAUGACACAAUGGCUCUUGGUAAUUUCUCCCAAACUGAAAAUAACUUCCUAUUGAAAACUUUUGCAAUAGAAAAAUAAACACUGCAGUAAAAAUUAAUCUGGAGAAUACAUGGCCCAUCUUAUUUAAGAAGGAAAGAUCUGCCACUGCCUGCCAGUGUUACAGCCUAUUAAUUUCUCUCCCCAACUUGUUUCCUUAUAUAGAAGGACUUUGUUAGAGUCUAUUGGGGUCUUGAUUGCUUCUGCAUCUACAGCAUAAAGAGGCAGCAAGAAGUUCCUCUUGAAAGAAGGAUGGGAAGAUAUAGCCUGUUUAUUCCUGCCCAUCAUCACAGUGCUUGAGGGCUCAGGUCCAAGGCUCACAUAAAUGCAAGCUCCCUUACCAUAGAUAAAGUAUCAAAUGGGACAUAAGAAAGUAAAUUGCUAGUAAGUAAAUUGCUUCUCAGGCACAAGGUUAUUUACAAGAACUAGUGAAAUAAUUUUAAAAGGACCUAGAGAAGCCAUUUAGGAAGAAAGGCCGUUUUUCAGCUAAAAUCUCAGAGAGCAGCUGGAGCCAGCAUAGGUGAAAACAUUUCUAAUGGAGAAUCUAUGGAUUAAGUCUGUAGCAGGCUAGUUACUAACUAUCUCUCUCUCCGAAGCCCAUCCAUCUUCCUUAUCACAAUUGUGGCAAUUCAGCACAGGGAGGGGCACUACCAAACAUUGAAGAGCCCCCAGGUAUCGCACAGUACUGGGGCCAGCUCCUCAGCCAACAGUAGCAUGACAUUAAUGGAGCUAUGACAAUUUACAUAGGCUAAAAAUCUGCCUCACAGCUUCCAAAUGGAUGGCCAUGGCCUCUGCAGAAUCAUAAGAUGCAGGAAGCCCCCCUCCCCACACAAAUCUCCUCUCAAAUCCAAGUACAAAGUUGGACAUGCCAGGAAGCCAACACAAUAAGGAAAGUUUACACUUUCUCCUUGCAUACAUAACCACCUCACAGGAUGAUCAGGCCCUCAGGAUUUGUAGCAUCUGUUCUUUUCUGUUCACCUCCUUGAAGUCAUUUCACAAUGUUCCCCACUAAAAAAUACUUAACAGAUAGUAAAAGAAAUGUGGCUUAAAUCAAAGUCUGCAACCGAUCACACUGGUAACUCAAGCUACGUCUAGACUGCAGAGCUUUUCUGGGAUACCUCUGCAGUGUCCAAGAAACGCAUCCGUUUUUCCGGAACAGUUUCCGAAAAAGCAACCCUGUUCUUUCAGCAUUCCUGUACUCCGCUCAGUCAGAGGAAGAAGGGAUGUUCCGAAAGAGGAGCUUUUUCCAAAAUUUAGCUCUGUGUAGAUGGUCCAAAUAUCAGAAAAGCCUCUUUCGGAAAAAAAGCUGAAAAAGAUACGCAAAUAGCAGUUCACAAUUUACGUAUCUUUUUCUGACUUUUCUCGGCAGUCUACACAUAGCCUCAGUGUGAAUAGCGGUGUUCCUAAAGCUACAAAGCCAGACUUGUUUAUGAGGUUAUCCAAGAAUGUACUGUUUGCACUUCUAAUUAUUUAUGUGCAGUUCCGACAAUGCAUUCCAGGCUGCUAAAUCUUUCUUUGUCCUCACUUCAAAGAUAAAAUUAUUUUAAACAGCCAGGUAGUUUGGCAGCAACUCAGUACUCUGUCUUCAAAGAAGUAACAGAUUUUCCAUGGUGAAAAACAUUUUUGAACAUUUAAAACAGAGCUUUUACCUAGAAAUCAAAUAUCACAAACAAAAAAUUAAAAGAAGUUUGUUUGCAAACCAGAAGUAAGGUACAAUUCAGGCAAGUAUCCACAGACAUAGCUGGGUAAAAAGGGACCCAGAACUGGGUGGUAGACAACCUCUUGGAUACUGCAUGGAUCAAUUCCGAUAUCUGCAGAAUUCAUAUAACUAUCUAUGAACUAGAAAAUCAACACACAGAACUUCAUAUGCAGUUUUACAGUUGAAACCUGAAUUGAUUAUCCUUAAUACUGUGAUAUCCUUCUCAUUUAUCUUUAUGUUUUUAACCCUCAUAGUAUUCAAAGCACAAUUAACGCUGGUACUCUUCAGAGGCAAGACUGGAAAAAAAAAUCAGUAGUCGAUUAAGCAGAAAUAGAAAAGUCAGACUAGAAGUACCUCAUUUUACCCAUAUCCAAAAGGCAACAUUACUGAAGAUAAGAGAACUGGUCAGCAUCAGCAAAUGUAUGAGCAGUACGGAAGUUAAUUUAGGCUUUCUGGGCUUCACAAAGAGAUGUCAUCUUCUCCUGAAACUUUACCAUUUAAGAACAUUAAAGGAGCAGAGAAACUCUAGCUGGGGGAAAAUUCAGCGUAUACCAGGUAUCUCCUUAGAGAGGUGGCAUGCUGCCCUCUGCCUCACUUAUCCUUCACCUCAGGGACAAAGGAAAAUACUUUUACCAAUAUCUUUUUGUAUCUAUAGAAAAGUUUUUCCAACAGAACAUUGUGAUGUCAUCACAUCGCUCUGUGUCCUGCAACCCGUCCCCCUCAGCCACGCAGCCGCCUCCCUUCCCAGUGCUGAGUGCCCCAGCCUCCCCGGUGCUGGGGCAGGUGGCAGCCAUGCAGCUUCCCUGGUCUCACCAGAGCACUGAGGAGGGGCCGGGAGCCACGCACCCUCUCCCCUUGCGGGAGGAGGGAGUCUGGGAACCAUGCACCCUCCCCCUGGCAGCUGGAGGCAUGGCCAGGCCUCGGCCCCCAUCCUUGAUGGCCACAUGUGGGGCAAAGAGUUGUACUCCAGUCAAGAUGGGAUUUCCCAGAAUGCAUUCUGGGACAUAAUACUGAAAUCAUGCUGAAGCACAGAAGCAGCCCAUAUGAUCUCAGGCUGCCAGUGCUAGGGCAGAGAGGAAGACAGGCCAGCUAGGAAAGGCCAACAGUUGCACUUGUCCCUCUACAUGGGCGAUGCUAACAGAGCUGAGCCGCUGUGCAGUCAGCAUGCCAAUACAGAGCACUACGUUCUCUCUAACACCCAAGGAUCAGCAUACAAUGAAUCACAAAAUAAAAAUGAUUCUUCCGUAAUCAAAAGAGAGGUAUGCAUGAACACCUUAAAAUCCCUUUCCUUUUUGAAAAGUCUAACAUGGAGUUGGAUGCGUUACCUCAAGAGAACUGAAGUUUGCUCAAAGCUGAAGGAAGGCAUUAAUAAAACUGAGUCAGAAAAGCAUUUUUCUUUCCUGUAUCUGCUCCUACAAGGAAUGCUUUCCUUUCAAACCUCUCAUUUUUAAUCCUUAUGAUAAUGCUCUCUUGUACAGGUGGAAGAGGUGGGCUAUUCACAGAAGAGAGAUGGAGCAAUAAGCACCACUGUAAAUGCUGUUGAAAUGGGACCUGGAAAGGUUGAAUGGUGGCCGUAUGUUUGUGUAUUUCAGAGAAAGGAACAGUACAGAGCAUAUAAACUCAGAGAACCCCCAUUUUAGCAUCAGGCAUGAAGAUUAAAAGUGGAGGUGGUGGAGGGAGACUAGCCCCAUAGGGUAGAACCCUGAUGGUACCCAAGUUGUUUAAAUAUAGCACAUCAUAUUUAUUACACAAGUUGGUUUCUACUAAGAUUCAGGUUGGUCCUCUGAGCAUAAUUUUUGGGAAGAGGUCUUCUGAGUCUCUGGCACUGCAUCAAUGAGAUCUUGGAUUUUAGGAUGAAUCCUCUCUGGAUCUGCAUCUGCAAGUGUAUCCUCAAUAGAGUCCAUGAUGUGCUGUGGUUCAGUAGUGAUAUCUCUGUCAAAAAUAUGGUCCAGCAUGGUAGCUGCAGAGCACACAAACCCUUCCAGAGAUCUUAUUGUCCCUAAUACUCCUUCAGUCCCCACUCGUGCCAUUCCUACUGCAGGCACUUCUGCUUUUGAAAUGUCACAGGGAGCAUGGGAUGAGCAGGGACUCAAGCAGUUUCCUCCUCCCCCCGUGCUCACUGUGGGGACAGGAGCCGAUGCUGGGAGGGGGGACAGAGUAUUGGGGAUGCUGCUGCA
This is a non-coding RNA of Pelodiscus sinensis (Chinese soft-shelled turtle), 4718 nucleotides long. Lineage: Eukaryota; Metazoa; Chordata; Testudines; Trionychidae. The record is from RefSeq and is a predicted model, not a curated record.